GCAAGCUGCGUGGACCGACAGGCGGGCCGGGCAGGUAUCCUCAAACCGGAGCCAGUGGUGGAUACAACAACCACCCGAAUCGCGGCGGUCAAGGAGGUGGCGGGGGAGGUUAUGGUGGGAGCGGACAGUAUCCUCCGCCGGGUGGCCGGGCCCCACCGUACAACUCGAGUGGGGUGCCUCCUGGCGGUGCUCCACGUGGCGGUGGUGGAGGUGGUAGCGGGUUUGCAGGCGCGGCGCCGAAUUAUCCUCAAGUUGGUCCUUAUGGAAGUUCUGGUG
RNAcentral lists this long non-coding RNA (276 nucleotides) under Linum usitatissimum (flax). Its description in RNAcentral is "long non-coding RNA (LUSI_LNC000762)". Lineage: Eukaryota; Viridiplantae; Streptophyta; Magnoliopsida; Malpighiales; Linaceae. The record is from RNAcentral.